Molecule: ribosomal RNA, 253 nt
Filed under: uncultured bacterium
Lineage: Bacteria
Description: partial 16S ribosomal RNA
Rfam family: Bacterial small subunit ribosomal RNA
Source: RNAcentral
UACAGGGGUCUCGAGCGUUAAUCGGAAUCACUGGGCUUAAAGGGUGCGUAGGCGGGCCCGUAAGCAUUCCGUGAAAGCCCCCGGCUCAACCGGGGAACAGCGGGGUGUACUGCGGGCCUCGAGGCAGACAGGGGCGGUCGGAACUGUAGGUGGAGCGGUGAAAUGCGUAGAUAUCUGGAGGAACACCGGUGGCGAAGGCGGUCUGCUGGGCCGUUGCUGACGCUGAGGCGCGACAGCGUGGGGAGCAAACAGG